GGACGAACGCUGGCGGCGUGCCUAACACAUGCAAGUCGAGCGAGGAGAGUUCCUCGGGAUGAUCCUAGCGGCGGACGGGUGAGUAACACGUGGGCAACCUGCCUCAUAGAGAGGAAUAGCCUUCCGAAAGGGAGAUUAAUACCUCAUAACAUUGCAGUUUCGCAUGGAACAGCAAUUAAAGGAGUAAUCCGCUAUGAGAUGGGCCCGCGGCGCAUUAGCUAGUUGGUGAGGUAACGGCUCACCAAGGCGACGAUGCGUAGCCGACCUGAGAGGGUGAUCGGCCACAUUGGGACUGAGACACGGCCCAGACUCCUACGGGAGGCAGCAGUGGGGAAUAUUGCACAAUGGGGGAAACCCUGAUGCAAGCAACGCCGCGUGAGUGAUGACGGCCUUCGGGUUGUAAAGCUCUGUCUUCAGGGACGAUAAUGACGGUACCUGAGGAGGAAGCCACGGCUAACUACGUGCCAGCCGCAGC
This 475-nucleotide ribosomal RNA is filed under the name uncultured bacterium. RNAcentral's name for it is "bacterial SSU rRNA". It matches the Rfam family "Bacterial small subunit ribosomal RNA", at positions 27 to 518 of the family's 1533-position model. The record is from RNAcentral.